RNAcentral lists this ribosomal RNA (494 nucleotides) under uncultured bacterium. RNAcentral describes it as "bacterial SSU rRNA". It matches the Rfam family "Bacterial small subunit ribosomal RNA", at positions 30 to 518 of the family's 1533-position model. The record is from RNAcentral.
UGAACGCUAGCGACAGGCCUAACACAUGCAAGUCGAGGGGCAGCACAAGGAGCAAUCUGAGGUGGCGACCGGCGCACGGGUGAGUAACACGUAUGCAACCUGCCUGUAAGCGGGGAAUAACCCGUUGAAAGACGGACUAAUACCGCAUAAUACUAAAUUACUGCAUGGUAAUUUAUUUAAACAUUUAUGGCUUACAGAUGGGCAUGCGCAUGAUUAGCUAGUUGGAGAGGUAACGGCUCUCCAAGGCAACGAUCAUUAGGGGUUCUGAGAGGAAGGUCCCCCACACUGGUACUGAGACACGGACCAGACUCCUACGGGGGCAGCAGUGAGGAAUAUUGGUCAAUGGACGAGAGUCUGAACCAGCCAAGUCGCGUGCAGGAAGAAUGUCCUUAAUGGAUUGUAAACUGCUUUUGCAGGGGAAUAAAGUGCAUCACGUGUGAUGUUUUGUAUGUACUCUGCGAAUAAGGAUCGGCUAACUCCGUGCCAGCAGCGGC